Myotis lucifugus (little brown bat) is the source of this 74-nucleotide non-coding RNA. The record is from Rfam. NCBI's taxonomy places the organism in Eukaryota, Metazoa, Chordata, Mammalia, Chiroptera, Vespertilionidae.
GGUGGUUCUCAGGUGACACAGCCCGGAAUCAGGCUCCCUCCUCUCUGGUUCCAGGUGUGUGCCUAAGAACCGCA